This 21-nucleotide non-coding RNA is filed under the name Arabidopsis thaliana (thale cress). The record is from RNAcentral. Lineage: Eukaryota; Viridiplantae; Streptophyta; Magnoliopsida; Brassicales; Brassicaceae.
ACACAGUUAUAAUCGACGUGA